Molecule: ribosomal RNA, 501 nt
Filed under: uncultured bacterium
Lineage: Bacteria
Description: bacterial SSU rRNA
Rfam family: Bacterial small subunit ribosomal RNA
Source: RNAcentral
CUACGUGCCAGCAGCCGCGGUAAUACGUAGGUGGCGAGCGUUAUCCGGAAUUAUUGGGCGUAAAGGGUGCGUAGGCGGCCUGUUAAGUAAGUGGUUAAAUUGUUGGGCUCAACCCAAUCCAGCCACUUAAACUGGCAGGCUAGAGUAUUGGAGAGGCAAGUGGAAUUCCAUGUGUAGCGGUAAAAUGCGUAGAUAUAUGGAGGAACACCAGUGGCGAAGGCGGCUUGCUAGCCAAAGACUGACGCUCAUGCACGAAAGCGCGGGGAGCAAAUAGGAUUAGAUACCCUAGUAGUCCACGCCGUAAACGAUGAAUACUAAGUAUUGGGGAAACUCAGUGCUGCAGCUAACGCAAUAAGUAUUCCGCCUGUGGAGUAUGCACGCAAGUGUGAAACAUAAAGGAAUUGACGGGGGCCCGCACAAGCGGUGGAGUAUGUGGUUUAAUUCGACGCAACGCGAAGAACCUUACCAGGCCUUGACAUCCCUUGCAAAGCUGUAGAGAUA